AUACGGAGGAUGCGAGCGUUAUCCGGAUUUAUUGGGUUUAAAGGGAGCGUAGGUGGAUUGUUAAGUCAGUUGUGAAAGUUUGCGGCUCAACCGUAAAAUUGCAGUUGAUACUGGUUUCCUUGAGUACGGUAUAGGUGGGCGGAAUUCGUGGUGUAGCGGUGAAAUGCUUAGAUAUCACGAAGAACUCCGAUCGCGAAGGCAGCUCACCGGGCCGGAACUGACACUGAUGCUCGAAAGUGCGGGUAUCAAACAGGAUUAGAUACCCUGGUAGUCCGCACAGUAAACGAUGAAUACUCGCUGUUUGCGAUACACUGUAAGCGGCCAAGCGAAAGCGUUAAGUAUUCCACCUGGGGAGUACGCCGGCAACGGUGAAACUCAAAUGAUUGACGGGG
RNAcentral lists this ribosomal RNA (392 nucleotides) under uncultured bacterium. RNAcentral's name for it is "partial 16S ribosomal RNA". It matches the Rfam family "Bacterial small subunit ribosomal RNA", at positions 523 to 918 of the family's 1533-position model. The record is from RNAcentral.